AUGGCUGUGGCUCAACGGUAGUGCACUUGCCUGGCAUGUGUGAGACACUGAGUUCGAUUCUCAGCAUCAUA
Molecule: transfer RNA, 71 nt
Filed under: Marmota marmota marmota (Alpine marmot)
Lineage: Eukaryota; Metazoa; Chordata; Mammalia; Rodentia; Sciuridae
Also listed under: 1 other name
Rfam family: tRNA
About the family: Transfer RNA (tRNA) molecules are approximately 80 nucleotides in length. Their secondary structure includes four short double-helical elements and three loops (D, anti-codon, and T loops). Further hydrogen bonds mediate the characteristic L-shaped molecular structure. tRNAs have two regions of fundamental functional importance: the anti-codon, which is responsible for specific mRNA codon recognition, and the 3' end, to which the tRNAs corresponding amino acid is attached (by aminoacyl-tRNA synthetases). tRNAs cope with the degeneracy of the genetic code in two manners: having more than one tRNA (with a specific anti-codon) for a particular amino acid; and 'wobble' base-pairing, i.e. permitting non-standard base-pairing at the 3rd anti-codon position.
Source: Rfam by way of RNAcentral